This is a long non-coding RNA of Ictalurus punctatus (channel catfish), 17438 nucleotides long. The record is from Ensembl. NCBI's taxonomy places the organism in Eukaryota, Metazoa, Chordata, Actinopteri, Siluriformes, Ictaluridae.
AUAUAUAUAUAUAUAUAUAUAUAUUUCAUGGCUUAAUAUUAGGUCCGGGGAUUAUUCUUAUGCAAUGUUUAUUCAGGAAUAAUGUUAUAAAAUACAUUUCAAAUAGGAUGAACAGAAAUUCAGCACACUGAGUGUAUCAUGUAAAAUAGGAUUAAAUCAAUCAACUCAAAAAUCACACCAUUAAAAUCAAACACCAUGGAAAAGAAAAAACAAUGAAAUCUCUUUAGCUUGCUCUGGCCUCCAUAAGAAGUUAUAUAGGGACAAAUUGUAUUUAAACAUAUUUCUUUUCCUUUUUUCAAUUUAUAUAUUUUCAGAAAAUAGGCACACUGUUUUAUUUUCUUUUUUGACUUUGACCAGUUUUGAAAAAUGAACAAUUCACAGUGUCAUUUACAUUUCUUGUCAAACACUUUCUCUUUCUGAGGCUUUUUAUUGGACAGUAUAGAGUAGGAGUAACCUGCUCUGAAUCAUGGUCUAUAAAUGUACACCUCCUGGGUGAAGGGCAUUUAAAAAAUCAACCACCUCUACAAUAAAGCGGGUGAAUUAACAACAUCCCUCAAGCCAAAUCAUCCAUCCACAUCAAACUGUGGUGGGAGUAAUUAUAAGGCCUCUUUGGUGUCCUUGAAAGACCUGUUGGAGUGAGUAGAGUUAAAUGUGGAUCUGAGCUCCACUCCCUGUCCAUGUGUCUAACAAUGUUUGGCAUAACAGGAGCUGUUUGUACUGGACUUUUAAUAGAUAAAUGUGAAGGCUUCUUUUAUCCCACACAUUCUGCUCUCCUCCCAGUUCCAUCACAUCACUGUAACAUUGCAUGGCGUGACCAUGCCAUUACGUGACCUGUGACCUAGAUGCAAGACUGGCACACCUCAUAGGGCCAGGUUCGAUCAUUUAAGCAUAUAAGUUAAAGAGAGAGGCCAUGUCAUACACGUGGCACAUCUAUAAGAGUGAGCUAUAAUAUCCUUUAAUGCAUUUCUCAGUCUAAAACACGCACAUCCUAUACAUUCACAAUGCACCCCUUGUGUAUUCAUUUGUGCUAGAUGUAGGUUAUCAUUGUCUGUUGUUAGAACACUUUGCUCAUAUGACCCUAUGGAGCCUGGUGGAGAUGGUGUCAGGUUGGAGCGAUUAGCAGCCAGUAGGUGGCGCUGUACUCCUAAGGCUUGAGUCCUGCCUGCUCCUUGCCCUGAGAGAGCUGUGUUCUGUGACAAUAGGGCUUUUAUGCAGAACAGGCCACUCUCUGCACUGCUCCAGAGUCCUGUUUCUUUUAAUCCCCAUUUGACCUUUGGGCACUGGAGUCACUUUCACGUUUUUCAUGUACCUGAUUUCUGUUACCAAAAGCUGCAGCGAGGAACCUGGACACUGUGACAACCUUUUUUUUUUACAGAGAACGAUUUGAUUUGCUGUGGUGUGUGAGCUCCACUGACAGAGAGCAAUGCACCCUGUCUGGUGUAAUAUUCCAGUGAUCAAUCACUGCUGCAGGUAUUUGAAUACGUCUUUUCGCACUAAAGUCAUAAGUCAACAAAAUGAAAAAUGAAGUUGCUGCCUGAGAACAAAAAAAUCUUUAAACACCGCUUGAACUGUUGAACAUUUAAGAUGGCCAAUCGCACACUAGCCAAAUGAACAAAUAAUACCAUGUGGUUAAAUGAUCACAAUACAGUGACUUAAUAAUUGAUAGCAAAACUCUUGAGUUUACAGACCAUAAAAAUGAGGCAUCAACAAGUUUCCUGGCUUUUAAGCAAAAAAACUGAACACGGUAUAGACGUAAUAAACGCUAAGACAUUCAAUACAUAACAGACCAAGCAGCAGAGCCAAAGUCCUAAUCAGGAUGGUUUAGAAAAAGAUUUUUUGCGCAAAGUUUUUUUUUCUUUUUCUUUUCACCGUUCUUACAGCAAAAAAAAAAAAUCAGUUUGAUUUGUUCAUUCCAGACACGUUUGGCUUGAUCUUUGUCCUCACUUUAACAAAUGUAUAGACUUGACCGAAAUCAUGACACGAUAUUAAAAGAUAAAUUUUCGUUCUACAAAACGUCACACGUCUAUAUUCCGUCGUCUACAUGUUUACAUGAUUUUGACUAUAGACUGAUGUAAUGCCAAAACAGAAAUGGCAAACAUUAAGCAAAUAGGUUUGGUUCAGCCACAUCUAAGUGACAGUGCAACUACUGUACUCUUCAUCCUUGUGAGUCACUAGGAUAAAACACUACUGUCAGUUUGAAUGCGGUUUGAGACCAAACAUUAUAUUGUCACUAAAGCAAUUAAAUGAAUUGAAUCAUAUAUUUUCAAAUAGCAGAAAAGAAAUCAGAUAAUUGAAAGAAAUCUGCAUUAAUUUCAGCGACACGUUUUAAAUCAAGAGAAAAUGAGCAGUACCUUUUUUUUCUUCUUAAUGUUUUACUAAUUAACUGUAAAAUCCAUCUGUUGCUGUAGUACUUGCAAUAUCUUAUAAGUUAUUAUUUUAUGUAAGUCUUUUUUUCAUAGAUUAAAUCAAUUAUCCAUACAGUAAUAUAAAAUCAUUUUACAGAUGUCGGCCUGCAAAAUAAAUGGGCAUUAUUAUCGUACAUUUUCAUUAAAUACUUCUAAAUGGCACUGUAUAAUUCGAAAACCACACUUUCACUAUUUUCUACAGUGCAGUCACAGAAAUAGAGGAGCUAAUCUGAUUCAAAACGAUUUAAGAUUUCCAUUUAAAUCUGUUCGAGAAUUGAAACGAGACACAAGUAAUGCAGGUAUUGUCAUAAAAGUCAGUAUUUUGCUGCAGGUACACCACGCACACACACGCGCACACACACACACACGCACACACAUGCACACGCACGCACACACACACACACACACACACACACACACACAUACACAAAGAAAAUAAAGAAAAAAAAAAGAUUUAUGUACAUAACCUUUUGCAAUGCAAAAUAACUGUUGACAACAUUAACACACAGCUUGCUUAAUCAUUACUGACACAUAUACACAAACUAUUUUUCAUUUAGAAGAAAAAUUGCCACAGAGUUUCUGUAUUCAAUUGUUUGAAAGAUCUGUGAAGCAAUUUGCUUUAGAGCUCAAUCAAAAACUUACCACACACACACACACACACACACACACACACACACACAGUCGAACUGCUUUGAAAACAAACAAGACAUUCAGUUCCACUACAAUCUACCUUUCGUCUGAACAUACAGUUAAACAUUAAAACACACACACACACACACACACACACACACACACACACACACACACACACACAUGUACACAGGCACAAGAAAAAAUGUCCAUGCGUUAAACUCCUGCAGCUCACACAAAACUAUUUUUUAUUUAUUAAUUAAUUAAUGAAAUUUUCAAACACCAUUUAUUAAUGAAUGAAUCAAAUUUUCAAACACCAGAACCUCCAACUCUAUAAACCUACACAUGCUUGAAAUAUUUAGCUAAUUUGAAAUCGUGAGUUCAUUUUUCCAGUGUGUGUACACUUUGUGUGCUACAGCAAUAAUUAUGUUUUAGAUGUUUAUGUUAAUAAAUAUCCUUAACUUCCAGAAAUAACUAGAUAAAUAUUGUUUGUAUACAGUUUGUGCUGUUAAAUCGUUACUUUAAUUUCAUGUCUCACUGUUCCUUUAAAAAAAAAUUAAUUCUGGACUGAACACAAGACACGUCUUCUGUCUAGACUUGGUAUGGAUGAGUGUCUUUACAGGCAGUUGGGGGGGGGGGGGGUAAACCCUUUAGUCUCAUAUGCACACAUUAAAGGCGUGGGAAUUUCAUUCAGGGCUGAACUAGAGUCCUCUUGUGGGGCACAUGGCAAGUGUGUUUAGGUGUAUGUGAGUGUGUGUGUGUCUUUAUGUGACAGUCAUGGAGUGUGUUUUGCAAUUUUGGGAAUAUGCACACAUUUUAACCAGACACACACACAGGUGACAUGUCAUAAUAUUCUACAGAAAUACCCCAGAUAAAUGUAAAAAUUUAAUGGUUCACAAGACACAACAUAAAUCAUAAUGCCAAAAUACAAGAAACACAUUAUAUUUCAUAAUUUCAAUGGGUUAAGGGUUUAACCUCAAGCUUUAAUCAUGUACCAACUGCCCUUUCCGUUUACAUGAUGCCACCUGCAAUGUGUCUUUACCAUACAACAUUUCUGGAACACUCCAUUCACUACAGAAAAAACAGAGUAGAUCGGUAGAUCGGGAAUGGAUGGGUGGGGUGGGUGGGGGGAGUUCACUGCCAACUCAAUAUGGCACUUAUGAGCCAAAACACUUCAAAACCCCCCACUCAGAGUUUAAUCUGUCAUUUGUCCAGCAGUAAACUACCUAUAAUAAAGCAACUCAGGUGAAGCAGACCUGCUGAACUACUUGCCUAUAUAUUUUAAUUUAAUUGCAUUUACAGGGAGAAAUGUUGCCCUCACAACUGCACCACCACCUAUACAUUUUGAACACAAUUUCUGAUUGUUUUGUUGAGUACACAUGUGAAAGAACAAAUGAUUAGAUCUACAAAAGGCACUUUCUGUGUGUGUGUGUGUGUGUGUAGAUCUCUUUUUGUGCUACUGAGAUUAUUUUUGUCUUAUCACUGCUACCAAUAUUAAUCUACAAAAAAUAAUAUACCAGCAACAUUAGACUAUUAAAAAUAAAACAAAAUAAAAUAAAUGCAGACAUAGAUAGAUAUGCAUAAAACGAAUGAUGGAAAAUUCCAGAAAAAUAUUCAAAUACUUAUUGCAAAUAUAAAGUGACACAUCUGAAUUUCUGUGCAGACUUUAGUGAUAAAUAUCGAUUGUAAUGUUACGUUCCAUUUUUUUUAAACAUUACAAAAUGUCGAUAGUAAUGUUACGUAAAUUAAAUUUUUUAUUAUAAAAUAUUGAUUGCAAUAGCAAAGCUUUCAUAGCUUUAUGUUUUGCAAUAUUCACAAUUCAGAAAAAUGAAAUAUUUUGAAACAUAUAUGUUAUUAUGUAAUAAUACAACCAGUACAUAUAUCGCAAACAUUAAUACUAAAAUGACAUUGUAAACAUUAGAAAUAAAAAAGGCAUAUGUUAUUGAUACGUACUUGUGAGCAUAAGAAUUAUUUUGUUUAUUUCUUGUAAAUUUGACAUUUAUAAAAUAUUAACGAAGCGCAACACAAUACAGUUCAAAAUUAUGCAAAAAAAUGAAAGAAAAAAAAAUCAUUAGGCUGAGCACAUAUAAAACAAACCCAGAGUCAGGCAGCAUAUGAAGUGUUCAUAUGAAGUGUCCUGUACUCAUGGCUUCCUUAAACGAAAUGGAUGCCUGUAGAAAAUGUUGAGAUGGUAGUAGGGUUUGGCCUGGCCUUAAUGUCGUAAUGAGCCUUUAUAAGGAGUCGCUUGAGAAGGACUCCUUUCUCAGCCUUAUUUUUUUAGUGAUCGGAAACCAAAUAAGCUCAGGAAAGACAACAGGUCCAAAGUUCUACAGUAACGUAGGCAAGUUUUCUUAUUCUAAGCACCCAAAUAUCUAUGAGGUUGACGUACUAUUAUUAUUAUUAAAAACCGCCCGCAGAUUUACACCAUAUUUUGUAGCAAUAAAUUCAAAUUUUAUUCGAUCGGCUACUAUGCAGAUUUUGAAUCUUGUUCAUGGAAAAUUUUUUCAAAACCCAUUAGUAAAACCAAGUCUAAAAAAUACAAUGUUUUUACGUGAUUAAAAAAUGCAUCCCAAGACAUGCAAACAUAGACGCAUAUUUGAAUUAAAUAUAAGAGCCUACAUCCGAUAACAAUAACAGACCUGAACUGUGCAAGUUAAGAAUUAAAUUAUAUGCAAAACCUCACACAAAACUAUAUAAAAAAAAAACUUACCUCACGAAUGAGGAAAAUGUGGGCAGAAUGAGGCGAUACAGACUGGUCCUGAAGGCCUGUGUUCAGGAAGAGACAGACAGAGAGAGAGAGAGAGCGAGAGAGAGAGAGCAAACAGUGAGCGCUCGUAGAGGAGGCAGGCCCGAGGGGGCCAAGCCAGUCUUUCUAGCCCAGCUGCAGCCCCCAGCAUUGGGCCACAUGCCUGUCCACCACCGCUGGCCUGGGACAACCAGGCCCUAGCCACAAUAGGAGGCCAUGAGGCUCAUCGGUGAGGCGCGUGGGUCGCCCCGUCUGCCAGUUAACAAGUCUUUGAAUGAGGAAUGUUAGCAAACAGGCAAAUAGAAUGUCCGCUGCAUGCUAAUGAUCCAGCCAGUCCGCUUGCAGCAUUGGCCCGGGCCUAUGAAUAAUUCAGCAGGCUGAAAACCGAGCUCCCUCCCCCUUUAACCCCCUCCCCUCCACACCCCACGCAUCUGAAAUGCCUUCAGUGGACGGAGAGAGCGCAUGAGGGGAGAGAGACGAAGAGAGCAGGCGAGACGGAGGAAAAGUAUUCCAAAUCUCAGCUCGCUCGCUAGCUCACUUCCUCUGCCAUGGCAUGCUGAAGGUCCACUUUUAGGUCCAGCUGAAUAAACACGCAAUGUCACGAGCACAUGUACGUACACACCCAGCUCCAAAUCUGCUCUUUCGUUUCAACAUGCAACUUAUUGCUUUCGAUGGAGGCAUCUCUCACUCAUUGCCUUUUUAUGUCUUUUGUUUGGAAUUGGCACCUGUCCCAGAAAAAGCUCCACCACUGCACCACCCUCCUGCUCUCCUUUCAGAGAGAGACCAAGAGGAGUGUGAAAGAAGCACUGUAUGUGUGCGCAUGAGAGAGAGAGUGAGCAAAGGGAGGGUGAGAGAGAAUGCAAGAGAGUGAGUGAGAGAGAAAGAGAGAGAGAGAGAGAGAGAGAGAGAGAGAGAGAGGGGGGGGGCGGUGCUUCAGCAAUAGAGCUAUUGGCACUUCCCUUCCCUGAGACAUGCAACAAGCUGGAAGACCACAGCCAUUUUCAAACCUCAGCAUUACGAACGACCAUCCGAGAAACCUGAGCAACAACCACAAACACCUGCACACCAGAUCCAAACAAAACCAGCCGGGAGGAGAAAAUGAAUCUUUUGCAAAGCAGUAGAAGAAAAUAGUCACUCUGGAUAGGGAAAAAAAAACAGGGAAAGCCCACACUACAGUUUAUAAAAGCCACAAAAAGCUAUCGAUAUGCAACAAAAUGGUUAAAUAUUGCAGAAAAUAAUUGACAGAAAAAUGGAAACUAGUCUCCACAACUGGAUGGAGACAUAGGGUUAAAAUCCAGAGAGUUGUAAAAAAAAAACCUCCUUCUCUUGGCACAGGCUGCCUGAAGGGGAGGAUCUUACUGUAGAAAUAGCAGCAGAUGCUUUUUUCUCUUUUUUAGCUGCAUGCUCUCUCACUCUCUCUCCGUUCUACUACUCACAUGCGGUCAAGUCUGGAAAAGGAAGGGGGGCAACUAUGGUAGAGGGAAGAGAGGAAGCGAGAGAGAGAGAGAGAGAAGUGAAGGAGAAGGGGAUGAUGAAAUGAGGGAGUUGCAAAGAACACGGGCAAAGCAGCUUUUUUAUUCUCCACCACAGCCAGUGAGAAAAGCCACAGAGACAGAGUGACAGUGCUGAGAGGGAGGGUCGAGAAAGAGUGGAGAAAAGGGUGACACAGCCUGUAGUUCUCAUAUGGACUCAUCACACACUCACACGUGAAGUUGACUAUUCAAACGCAGUUUUAACUUCUACAUAUGAAAUUAAACUUUUAAUUUUUUUUUUUUUAAAUAUGUUUUUUCCUGUCUACAUGCAAUUAUACAUAUAUAAAGAAUAGGACUGGUCACAUAUAUAAAGGAGCUGUUGACUCGUUUUUUUUCGUCAAGAGACGGUCGAGUCCAUUGCCAUUGCAAAAGGGGGAAAAUUUCACCAUGCAAAGCUGUAAAUAUCAAGAUGCUGGAUGUAACAAGUCCAAAGCAUAAGAGAUGGAUCCAGGAUGGUUCCUGACAGCUUCUCCUGUCUGAGUUUGUGGGUAAGCUACUCAUCAGUGUGUGUGACUGUAGUACCUCAGAGACCCCCCCCCCCCCCCAACCCCCACCCCCUCACACUGUACUUCCACCAAUCAGAAGCUAAAAGAAAGCCUGCUUUGCUAGAGGUGAAACAGCUGCUGUCAUUUGCAGGGAAAACUUCUUAUGCAGUGACGCCCCACACACAUACACACACACACACACACACACACACACACACACACGAGCACACACUGAAGCCACACCACAGCUAGAGCACAGCCUACCUGACUCUUUGCCCAAGGUUGAGAAGUGUUUCACAGAAGAAGACAGGAGGGGUUUAUGUGGUUGCAGUAUUAACCAAAUCAUGCUCCGCACUGACAUUGUUCCUCCUGUUCUUAUUUUGGUCACAAAAAUCGAGACAAAUUCAGACCUCUGAAGCUCUUAAUGGUGUACCGUGCGCCAUGUGCUAAUAAUCCAUGAUCAAUUCACUAUGAAUCGCACACGUAAGCACAAAUAUGGCAUGCACACACACCCACACACAUAUAUGGAGUGUGUGCAUGUAUAUAUAUAUAUAUAUAUUACAUACACACAUACACACUACAGACACACUACACUGUUACUACUACACUGUAAGAUGAAGAACUUCUUACUGUGCUCAUGUCCCUGGAGAAACAGGAGCAGUGCACAUGUAUAGUGCUGAACAGGGCGGCCACAGGAUAGAUGGAGCUGUCUGUGUUACAGUACACACUCGGGAUUCUGCUGCUUUUAAUGCUUUACCGUGUUUAGCCGAUGUGGCUCUAUUCAUAGAGCAGUUAUCAGUGUGACAAAAGCCUGUGCUGUGUCCACCUAGCACAGAUACACGAAGGGUGCCGCUGUUACUCCUUGAGCGCUCCUAAUCCCUCUCACACACAGAAUCUCAGACAAACACACUCUCUGACAAGGAGGUAGGAAAGAAAGUGUCCGGUCCACCACGGCUCCCUCUCGCUGUCUCCCUGCUUCUCUGGGAGCUUUCUAGCCUCAUGUCUAGCCUCAUGUCUGCUGCUGGUGCUAACUGGUCAUUCGAGACAGACAAACACACAAUCAGUCAGUGCCAGACACACACCACACCUUCAAACCAAUAGCAAAUCUGGGCCGCAGGGUACCACGUGAGACUGUGACGGGUAAAAUGGAAAGUAAGCACUUCUAGUUUUCAUGUAACAAAAGCAGAUAGCGCACUUACUUUGGCAAGGCCUCGAAUGCUCUGACGUCACCUCGCGCCACGUCUUUUGACCAAUCGAGAAAUAGCAAAAAAUGGACCAGACAUGUUUUACACAUGCAACAGCACUACAGUGGCUAAAGGAAAAUGGAGACACAUUCGAAAUGUUUUGUCUUCGCAGUGGUGAUUUUGUGUGACGUGGUCUAAUUUGAUGCUUGUUUACUAUUUAACCUGUGUCUAAGGAGCUUGGGCUUGGCAUGUGUGUAGUGUUGUACACUGCAGAGUUCACACGAGGACACAAUUUUGGUUUUGGCUUGGCUGCCAACUCCCAAACAGUAUGUUGCUCUAUAAGGCCUAUCGUUCAUAAGACCGAUGGACCCGGAGUGCCAAUCAUAACAAACUCUUUAUGAUACUUUUCACGGCACAACCUCAGGGCUGUUUCAUUUGUGAAAUGUUCUUUCAAUUUAAAAGCUUUUUUUCCCCCUGAAGGUUCCACCUAAUCUCCUCAACCCUUAAUGGUCAUGGCUAGAUUUGCUUUUGCUUACAUAUUUUAUUUUUUAUUUUUUAUCAGGCAGCAAUAUGCAAAAAUAAGCUGAUUUGACUUACAAGUCUGCAAGUACUCAGUUAAUUACAACCAAUUUUAUAUAUAUUUAUAUAUAUAUAUAUAUAUAUAUCAUCCACAACCAAGAUUUGAGUGAGCAAGUUUCAUUAUUGUCUGUUUCAACUGUGAGGAUUAGCAGAAACCAAAAGUGCAGUAAAUUAAGUACAAGGCACCUUUACUUCCAGAUCUGCCAGACAAAUGAACACACGAUUAAACAAAUUUGGCACACAGAUAAAAGAGCCUGAACCUUUAUUGUUGGCUCAAAGGGAUCUUAAACAUCUAGAUUUCUAGAGCAGAAGUCUAGUAUAAAGGAGGAGAGAGCAAAGCAUGGACUUACAAUCAAUGGUGAGUUCAAGCAUGGUAUUAUUAAGCCCUUAACAGUGCUUGCUUUGCUGUGUUUAAAUAAUGCGGUGAUUAAAUAUUGCACAUCACAGAAAAUAAAAACAAUGGAAAUAAAUAUGGAUAUAGCGAGGACCAUUAAGGGCAAUAAAAUUCAAUAUGGCAUGCAUAAAACCUGAACUCCCUUUUGAUUUAGCACUCAAUGUUCAGCAUCAAUGUGAAAGUUUUAUCAAUACUUUGUGCUAUAGAAUAUUUUGUGUCAUUAGAUUAAAAUUAAAAGUGGAAAAAAUACACCUUAUUCACACACCUUUCUCUCCGCGGCUCUGCUGCAGUGGUGGUCUCUCCUGGGGCCUCACGCGCACGUGUCUGCAAGACUUCUCAAUUACAGCUGUGAACUCUAGGGUCAGCUUCUGUAGAGAGAGAAACAAAGGGCAUGACCCUGGGGUCAGAAGUGUUACACUAGGAGCAGGUCGGCCCCCAUUCAAACGGAGUGUACUGUUUGCUUUGUGUAGGUAAGGACCACUAAAACACUGAGUAAUAGGGAUUAGGAAGUGAUCCCCUUAGGGCUGUCACUCAGAGCCUACGCAUGACCUGACGGCUUCCAUUAGGAGCCGAAAAGCCAAGUGCUCUCACCCGUCUGUCUCACAAAGCUGACGAGAUCAAGUCUAUGCAGUUUACGCAUGUCACUCACACAAGUAAUUAAUUAAUAUAAAAGGAUAUAAUAAUAAAAAUAAUAAUAAUAAAUAAUUCCACUUGCAUAUUUAUUAGAAAAACGUCAUUUUUAUAACAAAAAAAUAAAAAAACAUUAAACAUUAAAAACAUUUUAAAUAAUUACACCAAGGGAAAUUUUUGUGUAUUAUCAGCAUAUAAAGCAGAAAGGUUAAUUUUGCUCUAUACAAGAGCCACACUCAAUACAGACCAAAUUCCAAAAACCUCUACUAAUUUACUUUAAUUAAUACACAUGCAUAUCUAAAAUAAAUACACACACACAGACAUACAUAUAUAUAUAUAUAUAUAUAUAUAUAUAUAUAUAUAUAUAUAUAUAUAUAUAUAUAUAUAUAUAUGCAAUUACAUUUAAAUAAUAUAUACGUUUAUAAGAUCCUACAUAUAAAUUAAAAACCUCAUAUCACUGAAACAAUUACUUUUGCUGUAUCAAUCACUCAAAAAAAAAACAACAACCACACACACACUUCAAACGUACAUCUUGAAAAACAGCUGUUUUUAUUUUACACUGCUGAACAGCUGUUAUCGCAAAUGCUCAGCUGAUUUCAUUAACCUGUCCUAAAAUGAACUUAAAUAUGUAACAUUAAUAUUUACAUACCACUUUCCAUUUUGUCACUUUCAGUCAGACAAAGAAAAAAAUCUAAGGACACUUUUUUGUUUCUUACAAAAUACAUACAGUUUUCUUUAAUAAUAAUAAUGAUACUAAUAACAAUAAUUGAAUAAUUAAAUGAAAUAAGAAACAGCAUGAAACUGAAGUGAAACAACAGUCAAAUGAACUAAAAUAAAGAAAGUGAUGGACUAACACAACUUUAGGAUAUCUUAUUAAAGAAAAGUGUUGAAUGUGUUUAUUACAGAAACGUAUUUAAUAGGAAAAUAGAUUAGUUUUACUUUGUUCAUUAAGGAUCAAUUGGCAUUCAGAGACAUAAAUUUGAGAGGGUGGGGCAGGGCUGCAGUGAAACCCUGAAACAAAAUGGAGCAGAGUGAGACAACAUGGCGGAUCCUUUUUUAUUUUUUAUUUAUUUAUUUUUUUUUAUAAAAGUGCAUCUCAAUGUAUAAACAGGCAGGAUAAGAAAUUAUGAACAAUGGUAUGCAUUAUUACAAUAUAAAAAGAAACAACUAUGGUGAAGGUAAAACAAAAAAAUAAAACGUCCUGUGCAAAAGAAGCAACAUGAUUUUCAGCACUCAUCGCUAGAGUAUGCACGAGCUGACUCUGGUGCUUCCAGAGGGACGGAAAAUGUUUCUGUUAACUAUUAAUAGGUCUUAUUGUGACAGAAUCUUCAGCACUGUCAUUUCUUUUUUCACUAUAUUCAAAACGUAUUCAAUUACUUGAUAAAGAAUAUGUAAAAUAAAAGGUGUAAAAGUGCCAUAAAAAUCUGAUAUUUCUAAAUACAGACGUUGCAUCUAUGUUAAUUAUUUAAGGGCUUAAACUAUUUUAUUUUUCAGGUAAAAAUAUUAACUUGUUAAUUUUGUACAUGCACAAAACAUUUAGAUAUUACAAAUAUAAAUCCAUGUUGCUUCAUUAUUCAUAGGAAAAAUCAAUUUUUAAGGUGUGAUCACCUAAUAAAGGAAACCCAUUAAACCCAUUAAAUACACUAAAUACACUACUUUAAUAUGUUAAAAUAAUCAGAUGGAAAUAACUAAAGAAAUUCUUCUUAAUAUAGCAAGUGGAAAGACAAGUUAUAAUGUCAUGGAGUUGGACAUUUGUCACAUGUUUUUGAUUUCUAUUUUGGGUAAAUGUCUCAUUUCAACUGAAUAAGAGGGCAAAUUGAGGAUAUAAGACAUAUAUUUAAAAAUAUAUAAACAAACUGAAAUGGUUUUCAGAGAUGAUUGUCCCUGUACAAGGUCUCUCUUCAAAGCAAUAACGUCUCCUGAUGAUUAACCCCGGUUAAAAGAGACUGAAUGUGUUAUUUAUUAAAUCCAAACAAAUCCAUCAAAUUUAUCUUCCACUUUUUUUCCCACGGAGCAAAAAAAUGUUUUAUGCUCCAUGAAAUAUCUUUUAUUCCUAUGAUAUAUUUUGGAAAAGAGUGUGUGUUCUUUUUCCCCGCAAAUAUCUCCAGCAUGAUUAGCAAAAUGAGUUUUCAUGCAAAACCGAUUCAAUUACAUUUUUAGAAAAACUCUUCUCAUCAUGCAUACAUGAUAUACAAGCUGUUCUGAUUUAAUAUUACAUUAAUACAUUUAACUCGGUUUGCCUUUAACAACAGGACGUGUGGCAAACAAGUACAUUUCUUUAAAAUGGACGAAAUGAAAUCACUGUACGUGUUUGCUUCCAAAACAUGUUCAGAUGAUACACAGCACCUUCAGUACAUCCACUUUGUGCAGAUUUGUACACAGUAACUACAAUUCUCUGAAUUCCUGUGUUAUAAGUGUAAUUCCAAAUUUAUUAAACACACUUUCAACAUGUUUUUGAGUUUUAUAUAGCACAAUAUGCACAAAAAGCAAAUCUCUGAAAAGCUCAUUAUUUUUGAAAUGAUAAAUUUAUAAGAUGCCAAGUUUUACUCUCAAGCAACAGCCUUCAUUAGUUUGUGUGUGUCCUUAUUUGUUAGAUUUAUAUUUAUUAAUACAGUAAAUACUUAGCUAUUUGUUUUAAAUAAAACUGCUAUAUAAUAAGUGAUUUACAUUUGUGCCAACUAUUUGAAUUCCAAUCACAGUUUCCAAUCAUACUUCCAAUACUUUUCAUUUAUAAAUUUUUUGGGUGUAAUUAUUAAAUAAUUUUAGGUAAAUAAUAACUAUACACAACACAAUUUUUAGACACUGUAUAAUAUGAAACUAAACAAAAGGCAAUUGCACAUACAUGACAUUGCAUGUGGUUCAAAUCACAGAAACUAUUAUUAUUAUUAUUAUUAUUAUUAUUAUUAUUAUUAUUAUUAUUAUAAUUAUUCAGAACCAUAAUUUAUUUGUUUAUUUAUUGAUUUAUUUGCCUUUUAAAAAUGUAUUACUGUUUUAUUUUUUCUUCAGAAUGUGUCUCAACUUAAAAUGGUGACAAUGGGGCAAAGGUUGCAAAACUCAGACCCGGACUAACGGUUAAAGAAAGUGCAUGCUACAGCUAACUCGCACUGUGGCUAACUGCAGCACGGCUCAGUGUCUAGAACCUUCUGUGGCGCACUAUGCUUCAGGAGUGGAGCUGAUUCUGGGCCAUUAUCCCACACAGUCAUUAACUCUGGCUCUUCCAAAAGCCCUGGCACAGGAGCAGUUUAACAAGAAAUAGAGGAAAGGUCACUUAAAUUAUGGAAAAUGCCGACAGCUCACUGUUAUCUUCUUCUUAUUAAAAAAAGUCUAUAUAUUACUGAUUUUAUGUUCAAAGAAUGUUAUAGAAACAACAUCGAGAGGGAAAGUGCUAACUAACCUCUAAAGCUUCAAACACACAAGUCAUUAUUCUAAGAAAAGGUUGUGCAAAUAUUUGGUUUAGAACUUAAAACUCCACCCCACUGUUAUAUAUAAAACUGUUUAUGAACCUUGCAAGCUUACUAAAAUUUAUAUUACCUUAACCAUUACUUAAUAUUAAUUUGGUCAUAUUUAAAGCAAAUGAAAAGGUGUGAUUCUUCUGUUUAAUGAUGCCUGUUAAAUAAAUGUCUUAUUAGUUGAAUUUGAUAACCUGACAAACAUUUAUCAGUCCCAUACAUAUUAUGAUGAAUUUCUAAAAUAAAUAAAAAAUUUUAAACAAAAAAACAACAACACUCUAAACAAUUUUAAACAUAGAUCAGGAACUUGUUUUUUUCAAUAUGUAAUCGACCCAAAGACAUAAUACCCUUACGAACACAUGCACAAUAAUUAUUAAAGAUUCAACAGGGUGAUGAUGAAAACUGUUUAUUCUCAUAUCUACCUGUUCUGACAAUGUGCCUGUCCAUCCUGGUCCGCUGGCAGCAACUAUUUUACACGGAGCCUUUUUCAUCUCUGUGCUUACAGGCCAGGACUGGAGAGGUGUGUGUGGGAGAACAGUAACAGAACUGGCCCUUAAAAGGCUCCAGGCAGGCCUUUGUAGCUUGUCCUCACGUGUGCCACGUCACAAUCCAGCAAUAUGCACAGAGCGUCCAGGAUUUGCCCCAGUCAAGCCCUCCACACCCUAUCCCCAACUGCCCGUGAUAUAAUAAUUGCCCCCGUGGAGUAGCAUGCAGGAAACAGACUCUGCCACUUUUACCGGAAGAUCAGAGGCUUGUACCCACACAGCUAUCCAGUGCAUUCCACACAUCUGAUAAUUCGAAAAGUCCAAUACGGCAACUUUUCGGUAUCGGAGAGUAAACGGACACAGGUGUAGCAAAGGCGUUGUAGAGACAUACAUCUAAUGGCCAUAUUUUGAUGCAAAUCUCAGAGGAGAGAGCAGAGGAGCAUCCACACAAUCCUCUUAAAAUAAACGUUCGUUCAUACAUCAGAAGUUAGGGCAAUUAAUAAAUGUCUACUCUCUGCACCAUGCUAGGCAAGUCGUAUAUCUGAGUAUCAUUUUUGCAAGUAUGCUGCACUUGUCAUUCUUUCUCAAGGGCAUUAACCCCAUUAAAUAUAAUUUUAAAGGGACAAUAUAGGUCAGCAGAGGAGACUUGUAAUUGCAAACACAUUAUCCUUGUAUCGUCUUUUUUUAUUAUUUUUUUUUUUAUUUUUAAUUGUCUUUGUGGAAGCACUCUCCCGAUGGGAAUUAUAACCUUUAUUAGGAUGAGGUAAGGAUGGUGUAAUACUAAUCUGUUUCCUGUGUCUGUCUUUAAUGUGCAUUUACUGAAUCUGAGACUAGUGGGUUACAACAUGAUAGUGUGACCUGUACGUUUCAGAUUCUAGUGUCCUCAAAUUGUGUAUAGUUGAUGUAUGGUUCAUAUAAUAAGUAUUCUGAAAUAUGUAAAGUACCAUGGCACAGUAUUAUACUGCAUAUUCAAUUUAAGGGAUUUUUUAAAAACUUUAAUAUGAACUGGAUUAUAAACCCUAAGGAUUAAAUAACUUAAUCACUAUAUUAUGAACCGCGUUUGUCAGAUUACACCUACUGUUCCUUAUACUAACUCAGGAAUAUUUUUUGCUAAUAAAUCAAGCUAAUAUUGUGACAAUGAGCACAAUAUGAACUUCAGGUUGUGCUGUCCCCAGCACUAUAUAAGCCUUGCACUAUAAAACACUAUAUGCUGUGGUGUGCUUUGGGGAGGGGUGGCCAUGACGAGGGGUGCUAUAGAUGCCAAUAGUCAUGAGCAUGCAGGCCAUAACAAAAGCGGCCUUUAUGUAGCAUGCAUGCAGAUAAAGGAGCCCCCCCUUUUGUCCUAGGUUUCACACGUCUGGCCAUGAGCGAGCUGGACAGUGACAGCCACGGGGUACUGCAGCAACACAGAGACACACACUGCCUUCAUGUGGCCAUGCUAAACACACACUCAGGCUUGCAUGCCAUGCAUAUUGUAAGGGGAAAUGUCCUUAAUUUUCUAUUUAGUAAAGGCAGGAUACAAUCGUAAUCAAAAUAGUUAAAUUAUAAACAAAUUUGUGUAUAAAAUUGAUUGUGUAUACAUAUACAUAUACUGAUGUGAGAAACCACAUUACUUGAUAAUGCAGUGGUCAUCUAAUUGCAUAUCGAAUAAUUAUUAAAUAGACAGUACUGCUUUAGGUAAAUGAUUACUAGCAAGUAUGGGUAGGUUAAAUGAGGCAAAGCUGUGAUAAAGGACAUAUGGAGGGCACACAGUGAAUGCUCUAGGGAAAGGGACACAGUGUUCACAGUGGGAUUAAUUAUGGGGACCUGAAUCUUCAGGUUGUGUCUACGUCUGCGUGUCUGAAACGCUGUGUGUCAGCACUGCAACCAUUCAAACUGCUCACAAACACUUCUGAAUAGGGUCCACUUAAUCAGGUAUGCUCCCUCCUUUCUCUCCCUCCCUCCCUCCCUCCCUCCUUCUCGCUUUCACGUUCUCUCAGUGCAGACAUACAAACACGCAUACAUGCACACACAUGAACAGCCCCUAAUAGGCAUGCUGAGGUGUGAUAAUCAAAUUAUUCUCAGCAUUCGUUGUGGGUUACCCGGGGCCCCUUUCCAGCAACUUAUCCCCGACGGGGAGUAAAUCACUCUCUAUACAUCUGAGGUGUUUCAGCACAAACACACAUAAACACUCGCACAUGCUCACACACAUGCACCAAUGUGGAGCGUUUUUUUUUUUUUUUUCAUGAGGUGGGAGACGAAGUGCUCAAAAGAAAGAGGAGUGGGUUCCUUUUGCACGUUACUCCUUCUUGAGCCCAUCUCUAUUGACCUGUAAACCUUUGUGACUGGAACAAAUGCAAAUGGCGCUGACUUGCUCACACAAACUACUAAAGAGCUAUUCAAAUGAGCCCCUGCCAACAAUGCGGCAGCGGCCGACCCAGGGAGCAGUGGCAGUCUGCAGGCUCGGAGGCCCAGUCUGGAACAGCCUGAUCCAUCACACAGCCAGGCCCAGAGCAGCACACUCACAUUACUGUUAAUCCAAUAUCUAAAGCCUCAAACAAACACUCUCUAUAAGAACCAGUGCUUCCUUUAUGCAAAAGACUGUUGAGUGACAAACAGCUAAUGAUAACUUCUUUCACCGGUGAAUUAUAAUAAAUAAAUAACUAAACAAAGUAUGCAUUUCCUCAAGCACAAACGCAAUCACAGUAGUUUACACAAGUGCAUGCAAUAUAAUGACCAUAUAAACUUUGAGAGCUCUAUACAAUUAUAUUUUGCACUUCCUUGUGUGCCUAUUAAAGAGAAAAGGAGGCUUUCUGUAUAUUGCACCCAAGUUCAGAAACCCCUGAACAUGAAAUUAGUUCUAAAAGCUCAUAUAUCUGUGCAUUCUCGAGAAAUACACACAGUAUACACAGUGUACCUAAUUCAAGAAUUUCAUUCGAU